UCCUCUGUAGUUCAGUCGGUAGAACGCCGGACUGUUAAUCCGUAUGUCACUGGUUCGAGUCCAGUCAGAGGAGCCA
Molecule: transfer RNA, 76 nt
Filed under: Escherichia coli
Lineage: Bacteria; Pseudomonadati; Pseudomonadota; Gammaproteobacteria; Enterobacterales; Enterobacteriaceae
Description: tRNA-Asn
Rfam family: tRNA
About the family: Transfer RNA (tRNA) molecules are approximately 80 nucleotides in length. Their secondary structure includes four short double-helical elements and three loops (D, anti-codon, and T loops).
Source: RNAcentral